AAUACCACAAGCUUUAUAUAUAUAUGUGUGUGUGUGUGUGUGUGUGUGUGUGUGUGUGUGUCUAUACACACACACAUACACACACCUGUAU
Molecule: microRNA precursor, 91 nt
Filed under: Pelodiscus sinensis (Chinese soft-shelled turtle)
Lineage: Eukaryota; Metazoa; Chordata; Testudines; Trionychidae
Description: miRNA (ENSPSIG00000020252.1)
Source: RNAcentral